This 155-nucleotide ribosomal RNA is filed under the name Kwoniella heveanensis BCC8398. Lineage: Eukaryota; Fungi; Basidiomycota; Tremellomycetes; Tremellales; Cryptococcaceae. The record is from RNAcentral.
AUCUACAGCCAUAGAAUCGAGGAAACGCCCCAUUCCGUCUGUCCUAGUUCGAGCAGCUUGGGAUGCAUCUAACUCUGGGCAGCUUCUUGAAGCUUGAUAUCGCUCGGUUAGUACCAUCGUGGGGGACCAGAUGGGAAUCCCGAGUGCUGUAGUUU